Molecule: unclassified non-coding RNA, 147 nt
Filed under: uncultured Pseudocercosporella
Lineage: Eukaryota; Fungi; Ascomycota; Dothideomycetes; Mycosphaerellales; Mycosphaerellaceae
Description: sequence contains ITS2
Source: RNAcentral
CACCACUCAAGCCUGGCUUGGUAUUGGGCGCCGCGCCCGUCGCGCGCCCUAAUGUCGCCGGCCGAGUCGUCUGUCUCCGAGCGUUGUGAAUCUUCAAAAGUUCGCUCCCGGGACCAGACGGCGCGCGCCGUUAAACCUCUUUUUACA